UACGUAGGGGGCAAGCGUUGUCCGGAAUCAUUGGGCGUAAAGAGCGUGUAGGCGGCCCGGUAAGUCCGCUGUGAAAGUCCAGGGCUCAACCCUGGGAUGCCGGUGGAUACUGUCGGGCUCGAGUCCGGAAGAGGCGAGUGGAAUUCCUGGUGUAGCGGUGAAAUGCGCAGAUAUCAGGAAGAACACCUAUGGCGAAGGCAGCUCUCUGGGACGGUACUGACGCUGAGACGCGAAAGCGUGGGGAGCGAACAGG
This 253-nucleotide ribosomal RNA is filed under the name uncultured bacterium. RNAcentral describes it as "partial 16S ribosomal RNA". It matches the Rfam family "Bacterial small subunit ribosomal RNA", at positions 524 to 776 of the family's 1533-position model. The record is from RNAcentral.